CAAUAGCGUAUAUUUAAGUUGUUGCAGUUAAAAAGCUCGUAGUCGGAUUUUGGCUGAGAACGAUCGGUCCGCCGUUAGGUGUGCACUGAUUGGUCUCAGCUUCCUGGUGAGGAGGUGUGCUUCACGGCCACUUAGUCACCGUGGUUACUUUGAAAAAAUUAGAGUGUUCAAAGCGGGCUUACGCUUGAAUAUAUUAGCAUGGAAUAACACCAUAGGACUCCUGUCCUAUUUCGUUGGUCUCGGGACGGGAGUAAUGAUUAAGAGGAACAGUUGGGGGCAUUCGUAUUCCAUUGUCAGAGGUGAAAUUCUUGGAUUUAUGAAAGACGAACUUCUGCGAAAGCAUUUGCCAAGGAUGUUUUCAUUGA
RNAcentral lists this ribosomal RNA (365 nucleotides) under uncultured eukaryote. RNAcentral's name for it is "partial 18S ribosomal RNA". It matches the Rfam family "Eukaryotic small subunit ribosomal RNA", at positions 592 to 976 of the family's 1831-position model. The record is from RNAcentral.